CGAAGCGGUGACGUGGAGCAAACCUCAGAAAGCCAAUCUCAGUUCGGAUUGUAGGCUGCAACUCGCCUACAUGAAGUUGGAAUCGCUAGUAAUCGCGAAUCAGAAUGUCGCGGUGAAUACGUUCCCGGGUCUUGUACACACCGCCCGUCACACCACGAGAGUUUACAACACCCGAAGUCAGUGGCCUAACCGCAAGGAGGGAGCUGCCUAAGGUGGGGUAGAUGAUUGGGGUGAAGUCGUAACAAGGUAUC
Molecule: ribosomal RNA, 251 nt
Filed under: uncultured bacterium
Lineage: Bacteria
Description: partial 16S ribosomal RNA
Rfam family: Bacterial small subunit ribosomal RNA
Source: RNAcentral